CAUUAGAUGGCUGAAAGUAAGCAAUGGAAUUUUAAACCAUAAAAUAGUAAAAUAACACUUACUUCUAAUG
This 70-nucleotide transfer RNA is filed under the name Agelasta perplexa. RNAcentral's name for it is "tRNA-Lys". The record is from RNAcentral. Lineage: Eukaryota; Metazoa; Arthropoda; Insecta; Coleoptera; Cerambycidae.